AAGACACUGCAAACUCAAUCACACACGCAUAGAGCAUAUCCUCGAGAAUCUGAAUAGUGCGCUCUGACUGUCUGUCCAUCUAAGGCUAAAAUGUUGUACUCAACCCUACCCAAGUACCCAACUCAUGCUGAAUGGCCUACCAGAAUAGUGAUGUGAACUGAGUGUCUCUAUCCAAAAUGAUGGAAACUAGAAUACCAUGCAGACGAACAAUCUCCUGGAUAUAGAUCUCCG
This 231-nucleotide long non-coding RNA is filed under the name Nicotiana benthamiana. RNAcentral describes it as "long non-coding RNA (NBEN_LNC014029)". Lineage: Eukaryota; Viridiplantae; Streptophyta; Magnoliopsida; Solanales; Solanaceae. The record is from RNAcentral.